Clupea harengus (Atlantic herring) is the source of this 2284-nucleotide long non-coding RNA. RefSeq lists it as uncharacterized. The transcript is spliced from 2 exons. The record is from RefSeq and is a predicted model, not a curated record. NCBI's taxonomy places the organism in Eukaryota, Metazoa, Chordata, Actinopteri, Clupeiformes, Clupeidae.
AGGGUUCAUUCUUCAUUUAUUUGAAAUGGCACAGAAUCUUUUAUUGUGUUUCCUCUAACCUGUUACCGUUUCAUCUAAUGGACUAACUAUACUAGUGCUGAAAUGGUUCACUGUAUUUGUGCAUAAUUAACGUGUUGUAAAAUAAAUAAAUGCAGCUGUGCUACUAAGUGUCAACAGGUUUCUUUGUUGUUUGUAGUCUCCCCCUGACGUGUUACCUUAGGAAUAGCCUGCGAUAUGAAUAGGAGUUUCCUACUCAGAAGACCACUAGUCUGGAUUAAGACACCCUUCCUGGCUGGAGAGUGAUUCCCUCAUUGUUCCCUCUUGCUUCAAUGAACCGGUGGCACAUAUGGAUCUGAAAUGUUGACUCACAAUUCUGCCUGUUCCCAGUGAGGGCCUUGCGUUCUGCCGCAGCUCACGCAGGAUGGCUUGGAUGUUUGCUUGGCAUCGGCGGCCUUGGCAGGACAAUGGGCCGGAUUCUCGGCGCUCGCCCGCCCGCGCGCGCGCUGUGGGAGGCAACAAACAAGACGGGUCGACGAGUGAGAAGUGAAGAGGCUGCUGGGAUAUGUCAUCUCUCGGCCGGACGGAGCGGGAGAGAAAGCGUGCAUGCGUGGGAGGCUGGACACGUUGCCCCUGAACAAUAACCACCGUGAGAAGCCAUUCUGUCCUUCACGGAGAUGGAGACUGCUGGAAAAAUAUGGCCCAACUGAAGGGUAGAGAGUUGAGAGGGAAAGCUGCUACUGUGUAGUGAGUCACUGUAGUUAAUGAGGACACUCGCGCACAGUGUUGAAUGUUGAAUGGACUUGGUGCUAAGCUGUUAGAUGUGGGCUGUGGGCUGUGGGCUUUGUGCCCAGGAUGCGUCAGCCUUGUGACUGACGCUCAGUAAAUCUAUGUUAUAGAGAUAAUGAGGAAAACAUGGUUUCCUUGAAAGGUUAAUGGAAAUUUGUAAUGAGCGUGUUUACAUGUGAUUCAUGCAGUAACAUGAAGCCCCGCUGUAUAUUCUGCUCACUGUUUCUGUGUAGAUUUCAGAUUGCUAUGAAAAUCACUCAAAACGAUAACCUCUACUAGUAGAAAUGAUAUAAAGCCACAUAUAUAAGUGUGCAUGGAAAUUCCACACAUACUGUACAUGUAGCACAGACUGGCAACAUUUUGAAGAGGGAAACUGACUGUCCCAUGAAUCUUUCACCUUGAAGACUCUCCCUUCUCACCCUGUGGCGCUCUGGGCUGCGUGCCAAGUGACAGGAGAUGAAAACGCCUGAACGAAGCCCAGCGAUACCUAAAAAACGAAACCAGAACAACCAAAAGCUUCAAGGCAGAGGGGGCUGGCCACGCCCUGAAGUCAGUAGCAACCCAAUGUUUUCACAAAGUCCCGCUGAGGAUAUGUACUGUGUAUGUAACAAGUGACUGAUCUGAAUGUUUGACAUUUGAAAAAAUAUAUAUGUGGAAAGUGAGGAAAGUUAAGCAAAGCCUUCCAGAAGUGUCUGGGACAAAUAAGCACAACAUUCUACAUGACUGAGAUCUGACAUAUGACUGUAUGUACAUCAUAUACAUUUAUAAAUAACUUGUCCAACCACCUCAUGGCAACAUAUAUGAAAACAUGCAAAACCAUACAGUCUUCAAUGCACCUGAUAAAGCUAUUUUUUUUUUACUUCAUUUACAUGACAUUUUUUCUUCGGACCCUCUGAAACUGAAUGGCAAGAUCAAACAGAUGGCCAUGAACUGAUCUUCAUCUGGUCAUUUAUUUUUGAGUUCACACAGCGUGCCUCUCAGUGCCAAACAGAAACACAUCACAGUCAAAUAACAAGCAUUGUGUCAGUCUAUUCAAAACAUCAUGCGCGCAAGGCUGUGUUGUAUGAAAUAGACAUCAACACAGGUAAGUGGGAGAUGGCCCUCAUAACAGGUGUCAUGGCUGCUGACCCCGGUUUAUGUGGUUCACUAGCAGUUCUCAUAACAGGUGUCAUGGUUACGGACCCAGGUGUCAUUAGCAGUUCCACUCAUACUAAAAUACUGCCUCUGUCCUAUAGAUCUGACAGCGGCGUCCAAUGCACGUCAUUUCUGUUCUGCCUUUUACUCCUGGCUUCCUAUCGCAGGCAAAAGUGAGAAACUUGUGUGUUCUGUUGAAAAGUGUUUUCUUUCUCUAAUGUAUUGAUUUCAUAUCUAAAGAGCAUGGUCUUAUAGUACAUUUUGAAAAUAUUUAUAUAUUUUAAAACUAUAUUUUAAUAUCUCUCUGACACUCUUGUUUGAGCCUACACAUUUUGCAGACUUGGAUUAAAGAUUGAGAAAUAGA